CUCGUAGGCGGUUCAGCAAGUCGGCUGUGAAAUUCCGAGGCUCAACCUCGGAACUGCAGUCGAUACUGCUGUGACUCGAGUCCGGUAGAGGAGAAUGGAAUUCCCGGUGUAGCGGUGAAAUGCGCAGAUAUCGGGAGGAACACCAGUAGCGAAGGCGGUUCUCUGGGCCGGUACUGACGCUGAGGAGCGAAAGCGUGGGAGCAAACA
RNAcentral lists this ribosomal RNA (207 nucleotides) under uncultured bacterium. RNAcentral's name for it is "partial 16S ribosomal RNA". It matches the Rfam family "Bacterial small subunit ribosomal RNA", at positions 568 to 774 of the family's 1533-position model. The record is from RNAcentral.